GCCUCGGUGGCUCCGUAGGCGAGAGCGCCGGCCUACGGAUCCCCUGGUGGCGGGUUCGAAUCCCGACCGAGGUG
This 74-nucleotide transfer RNA is filed under the name Ixodes scapularis (black-legged tick). It matches the Rfam family "tRNA". From Rfam's summary of the family: Transfer RNA (tRNA) molecules are approximately 80 nucleotides in length. Their secondary structure includes four short double-helical elements and three loops (D, anti-codon, and T loops). Further hydrogen bonds mediate the characteristic L-shaped molecular structure. tRNAs have two regions of fundamental functional importance: the anti-codon, which is responsible for specific mRNA codon recognition, and the 3' end, to which the tRNAs corresponding amino acid is attached (by aminoacyl-tRNA synthetases). tRNAs cope with the degeneracy of the genetic code in two manners: having more than one tRNA (with a specific anti-codon) for a particular amino acid; and 'wobble' base-pairing, i.e. permitting non-standard base-pairing at the 3rd anti-codon position. The record is from Rfam by way of RNAcentral. Lineage: Eukaryota; Metazoa; Arthropoda; Arachnida; Ixodida; Ixodidae.